AAGAUAAACAUAGUAAGAAAUAAUUAUCAUUAUAGUACAUUCCAAUUAGAUAAUUCCCAAUUCCCAUAGGAGCGACUUGGGUGUGUAGCUUCAUCUUGUUGCCCUGGUCAGUAAUAUUCCUAACUAUUUUAUGGGAUAUUGCGGUCAUUAGAGAUAGCGUGAAAUAAUUCAAAUACCCUUUGCACAGCAAUAAAAACAAACGCAUUUACGACAAAAGUACAAAUGUAUUUAUACAUUUUAUAUUUAUCUAUUUGGGUGUGAUAUUCAAAUCCUUUUGGGAAUGCAAACGAGCGCAUCAAUGUUAUCAAAUCGGAAUGUUUAAUUGUAAAAUGUACUACACAAACGUAAUUGCAUUUAAUGGCGUCAACUGAAAUUCAAAUUUCAAAUAAACCUGUCGCCAUUCCCUGCAACAACAAUAACAACAACAGGUCAGCUAGAAAGAGAGAGAACGAGCGAGGGGAGAGCCUAUAAAAUGCAUUUGCCGUGCAGAGAGACCGAGAGACGGAGAGACACACCCACCAGUCAAAGGAGGCGCAUCACAUGCUAAUUAGUUUUUCGUUUUCUUUGCUCUGUUUACUUUUUGCCGAUUCCCCUUUGCCGAUGCCCCAAUGUCAAGUGCAAUCAUCGUCAUCAACAUCGGCAACGGCAACGGCAUCGCCGCCAGUGUUGUUGACGCCGUUGCGCCUCGUGUCUUUCGCAGUACACGAAGACAACGUUCUCGGCAAUCGCUCGUUGUAGUAGUCGGUCGCUAAAUCGUGAGCUGCUUGCUGCAGGCUUGCUCUGAAAUUUAUUGGCUCUCAGUAGCUCUAGGGAAUGUGUGAUUAAAAGUCACAUAAACAAUGUUUUUAUUUGUAUUGAGGGAAAAGAAUCAAUUAUAAAUUCUAUUGCAGUUUUACUUGAAGAUUGCUCGACAGCUCGCACAAACAAGAUAAAAAUGUUCAAACAUGUCCGGUCUGGAAACAUAAGCAAUAAGCGAUAGGGUCCAGAACGACAACAACAUUUAAAUUUACUGGCAACGUUUUUAGUAUCGAAACGUGUGGAUGGGCGCACUGAGAGCCCGAGCAAAACUGAAUUUCUCUAAGGAAACGCGCUUAACAGCACAGCUAAAAGCCAACGCUGCCAAGACCCAGCGCAGCGCGUCGACUGCGACGCGGCGUCGUCAAUUGAUAUGUACAUAUGUGCGUAAACAUAGCGCGACAGCAGCAGCGACGCUAGCGUUAACGUUCUGCUGUCGACUGCGCACCGAGACUUCCAUUUGCAUUGAUAUACGCAACCCGUCAGUCAGUCAGUCAGUUAGCUGAUGAAGGAGGGGCGUAUGUGGAUAGAGCCUUGGAUAAUCUAAAGAUUGAUCAAGAGCUUAAUAUGCGGAUGGAUAUAUUGCAGUUAAGUCCAAAUCAAUUGAGGUUCUACAUGGCGUAUGAGUGAUUUAAUUAUUUAUUGCUGGUCACUUUUGGCAGAGAGGCUUUCUUUGCUCAGACUUCGCUUGUAUGCCAUAAAGCUUAUGUUUUGCUGAUCGAAGUAUACCUGAAACUUCUCCAGGAGUCGUCGAAAGCCGCUCUCCAACGCUGCUGAGCUAACAUCCUUGAGCUUAUCCAGCACAUAAUCAAUAAGAGCGUUCAUCAGCAUCUACAGAUGGAAAAUAAGAUAAAAAAAAAUAUGAUUCGUAAACUACAUUUGCUUAACAUCUUUAGGCAAUGUACCCUCAUAUGCUCCUGAGACACACGGCAGCGAGUGUGUACUAUGUGAUUGUCGCUCAGCAUUGCUUGGAAUAAUACCGGAUCGUUCUGAUCAAUUACGGCGCUUAUAUAGCGCAUAAAGGCCAAGGAAUGUCCAUGCAAGCGGUGCAUAUCAAGUUUGCCAUUAUGGCGAAAGUUUUCAAAUGUUGAGUAGUGCUUCAUAAUAAAGCUACAAAUUGUUGCUUAUUUAACAUUAAGUUUCUACGAGCUAAUGUUUUCAUCUCACGUAAAGUAAAUGUCCUUUCCAUAGCGCCGCUCGAAUGGUUUGAUUAGCUUCCAAGCCUGCCGCAAAGCCAAUCUUUCGUUAAGCGUAAACCCACUCUCAUCGUACACAGGUCCAACUUUCAGUACUGGCAACGGCUU
This is a long non-coding RNA of Drosophila montana, 2099 nucleotides long. RefSeq lists it as uncharacterized. NCBI's taxonomy places the organism in Eukaryota, Metazoa, Arthropoda, Insecta, Diptera, Drosophilidae. The transcript has 3 exons. The record is from RefSeq and is a predicted model, not a curated record.